GCAGGGCUUACCUGCAAGUCGAGCGGGGAAAGGUAGCUUGCUACCUGACCUAGCGGCGGACGGGUGAGUAAUGCUUAGGAAUCUGCCUAUUAGUGGGGGACAACAUUCCGAAAGGAAUGCUAAUACCGCAUACGCCCUACGGGGGAAAGCAGGGGAUCUUCGGACCUUGCGCUAAUAGAUGAGCCUAAGUCAGAUUAGCUAGUUGGUGGGGUAAAGGCCUACCAAGGCGACGAUCUGUAGCGGGUCUGAGAGGAUGAUCCGCCACACUGGGACUGAGACACGGCCCAGACUCCUACGGGAGGCAGCAGUGGGGAAUAUUGGACAAUGGGCGAAAGCCUGAUCCAGCCAUGCCGCGUGUGUGAAGAAGGCCUUUUGGUUGUAAAGCACUUUAAGCGAGGAGGAGGCUACUUAGAUUAAUACUCUAGGAUAGUGGACGUUACUCGCAGAAUAAGCACCGGCUAACUCUGUGCCAGCAGCCGCGGUAAUACAGAGGGUGCGAGCGUUAAUCGGAUUUACUGGGCGUAAAGCGUGCGUAGGCGGCUUUUUAAGUCGGAUGUGAAAUCCCUGAGCUUAACUUAGGAAUUGCAUUCGAUACUGGGAAGCUAGAGUAUGGGAGAGGAUGGUAGAAUUCCAGGUGUAGCGGUGAAAUGCGUAGAGAUCUGGAGGAAUACCGAUGGCGAAGGCAGCCAUCUGGCCUAAUACUGACGCUGAGGUACGAAAGCAUGGGGAGCAAACAGGAUUAGAUACCCUGGUAGUCCAUGCCGUAAACGAUGUCUACUAGCCGUUGGGGCCUUUGAGCUUUAGUGCGCAGCUAACGCGAUAAGUAGACGCUGGGAGUACGGUCGCAAGACUAAAACUCAAAUGAAUUGACGGGGGCCCGCACAAGCGGUGGAGCAUGUGGUUUAAUUGGAUGCAACGCGAAGAACCUUACCUGGUCUUGACAUAGUAAGAACUUUCCAGAGAUGGAUUGGUGCCUUCGGGAACUUACAUACAGCUGUUCUAGGCCGGUCGAGCUCGUGUCGUGAGAUGUUGGGUUAAGUCCCGCAACGAGCGCAACCCUUUUCCUUAUUUGCCAGCGGGUUAAGCCGGGAACUUUAAGGAUACUGCCAGUGACAAACUGGAGGAAGGCGGGGACGACGUCAAGUCAUCAUGGCCCUUACGACCAGGGCUACACACGUGCUACAAUGGUCGGUACAAAGGGUUGCUACCUAGCGAUAGGAUGCUAAUCUCAAAAAGCCGAUCGUAGUCCGGAUUGGAGUCUGCAACUCGACUCCAUGAAGUCGGAAUCGCUAGUAAUCGCGGAUCAGAAUGCCGCGGUGAAUACGUUCCCGGGCCUUGUACACACCGCCCGUCACACCAUGGGAAUUUGUUGCACCAGAAGUAGGUAGUCUAACCGCAAGGAGGACGCUACCACGGUG
Molecule: ribosomal RNA, 1418 nt
Filed under: bacterium 28S414
Lineage: Bacteria
Description: bacterial SSU rRNA
Rfam family: Bacterial small subunit ribosomal RNA
Source: RNAcentral